RNAcentral lists this long non-coding RNA (209 nucleotides) under Carica papaya (papaya). RNAcentral's name for it is "long non-coding RNA (CPAP_LNC003586)". The record is from RNAcentral. Lineage: Eukaryota; Viridiplantae; Streptophyta; Magnoliopsida; Brassicales; Caricaceae.
UUUUUUUUUUUGUAAUUUGGGAAUUGAAGUGCCCCUUCUCUAUAGGCAUUUAUAUCAUGUAAAGGAAAUAUAUUGGGAUUCCUUACACUUUAUUGAAAUAAAAUCUAGAUCUCAUAGACUAAAUAAGUGACUUUUUACUUGAUGACUUUGACUAUCAUUUGUUUGGUUGGGUGAUUCAUCUCUAAAAUAAUUGUAGAACAUAACAUUUG